CUGCAGGACUGUGCUCCACCACCUCUCGCUCACAUGGUCCCGCACAGCUCACGCCACCACCAUCAGCCCAACUGCUCGUAAUCCGGCUGCUGGAACGAAGUGGCAGAUGGAAGAGAAACUCCCGGAGGCCCCAAAGUGAGUGCUUGGGCUGGCCAUUGGACACUUCCACGGGAAGAAACUGAAGCAUCUGAGAUGAGUGGCAAAUAUUCCCUCCUGCUCUGCCUUCUUUGCUGGUGGCUGGCAGAAGGACAAGAUGAACACCAGAAGUGACUCCGCUUGCAGUCCCUCAGCCUUGGGGUGCAGGCUGCCUGCUGCUGGUCAUCUGGGAAGGGUUCAUUGCCAGCCCUCUAGCUGGUCCUCUGAGGCCUGGACC
RNAcentral lists this long non-coding RNA (373 nucleotides) under Apteryx owenii (little spotted kiwi). RNAcentral describes it as "lncRNA (ENSAOWG00000011765.1)". Lineage: Eukaryota; Metazoa; Chordata; Aves; Apterygiformes; Apterygidae. The record is from RNAcentral.